RNA transcript from Bicyclus anynana (squinting bush brown), 3528 nucleotides. RefSeq lists it as uncharacterized. The transcript is spliced from 6 exons. The record is from RefSeq and is a predicted model, not a curated record. NCBI's taxonomy places the organism in Eukaryota, Metazoa, Arthropoda, Insecta, Lepidoptera, Nymphalidae.
CAAUCGCCGCCUGCCCGGGCGCCCGGCAGCGCAUCCGAACGAACGACACCGCACCGCGAUCGUGUUUACGAACGUUUCCAAAUUCAAACUUUUACAGUUACAGUGCUUUGGAUUUGCAUUCAUAUACCCGUACCUUAGUUGGAGUCACUGAAGCUGCAUACAAUACGAGCAUUACGCCGAAAUGGCUGCGAAUGGAUACGGACCCGCUCCCGUCGGACACGCCGGUCGGAUCCCGAACUACGGUAAAACACAGGUCAAUCCAAUGGGAGGAGUUGAGCCACCAGCGUGCAUUCAAAACGCUAUGAUGACCAAGGAUAAGAAACCUUUCACAUAUACCCCAGGAGGGUUGGAUUUGUCACAAAUUAAAACACCCAGUAUGGCCAGGAGAUUGGCAAGACAACGUUCCCAAGAAGAACACGAGCAGGCGUAUGGUCAGCAACAACCUAACAAUAAUUAUCAAUCGCAUGGACCCGGAGGCCCUGUACCGCCACCUCCACCACCAAUGAAAAUACCAGCUCCACCACCACCUCCGCCUCUUGUUAUACAGGCACCUGACAGUAAAUCUCCAAAAACGAUUCAAGGAGAGAGACCAGAAAUUGUUAUCCCAGAUAAUCCGAUAGGUAUGCUAAGAAAAACAAACAGUCCGUAUCAUUGGGAAGCUGAAAAGGCAGAUUUGCAGCGUAUGGGCCCGGUUCCCAAAUUUACAGAGAGAACACCUGGUCCGUUAACUGUUAAUUUGCCGGCACACAAUACCUCUCAGAACUAUUCUCCACAAAAUAAUAUUCAAAGACAGAGCUACGGGAACAAGAAUCAGUCUCCUGACAGUCCUAUUCAUAGGCCAGAGGCACAGUAUGCUCAUCAAAAAACUGCGUCACCAAAUACUAACGGUUCACCACAAACCAGAGAACUACUUGUCAGGCAAGAUUCACAAUUUAAUAAGAGUCCUCAACCUUUUGCUAAUCAAUCUCCAAUAAGCACUGGUUCACCUUAUUCGCCUUCUCCCAAUAACCAUUGGAAACAACCAGAUAAAAGAGAUUCUCCAGUGUAUACUACCAAUAGUCCCCAGUCACCACAAACUAACCGUGGGCCAUUUUCACCAGCCGUUAAGCAAAAUGUUCCAAGUUACAAUCAACCAGCACCAGCACCCAAUAAUACAGUAUUUCAUACCCUUCCUAGAGCUGGUCCUCGAAACCAAGAAAACUUUUCAAAUGCUUACAACAAUACUCCUAAUAACAUUAAAGAAUCACAGCAAAGUCCUAAUGCCGAGGCUUCUACAGCACCAUGGCGAACUAGUACUCUAAACAGGCAUCCCCGCGAAAACCAACAGAUUCCUUACAAUAAUACAAGUCAACCUCAGCCCCAGUGGAAAACCCAAGACGCAAACAAUAAUCAGACUGAAACUUAUACUCCACCAUGGAAACAAGAGAACAGAAAUACUCCUAACCAAACUGGCAACCAACAACAAUACACCCCUCCGUGGCAAGCUCAAGAUAAUACACAAAGGUCUAUGGCUCCUACAACACCUCCGGAAACUCGAUACCAGUCAACAAUAUCAGUUCCGGUGACACCAAAGAAACAAACAAAUCAACCUAAUUACAGCAAUAUUCAGCCGAACAAAGAAGCAGUGUACGUAAAUCAAGAACCUGUUUAUUAUUGUUCUGAUAGUCCAAAGUCGAUACCACCAUGGGUUAAAACACAAAAGGAAAAAACGAAAACUCCACCACCGGUGUGGUGUCAAAGACCGUUGGAAGGUAAAGAAAGUGCACAACGAGAAUUAUACACUCCACCUAGAGAAACGAAUCAAGAGCCGGCGUGGGUAAAGAAAAGUAAUGAAAUGCAGCGAGGUAAUCGCGAAUUCGUAAGUCCACCUAAAUACCAGCAGCAAGCUCAGCCCAAUUGGUCAACACUUCCUUCGGAAAACAGAAAAAGUCUUCCGCGGGACAAUAAUCAAGGAAGGGUCAUUCCAAUCCAAAUGGAAGUCUCCAACACAGAUUCACGAAAUAAGGGCAACCAGCCUCAUUUGAGAAUUGUUAUUGACAUGAAACAAAACCCCGAUACCCAAAACGGUACCCAGGCGCCAUAUUCUCAACCAACACAGCGUAUCAUGAGAGUUUUAUCUCCACAACUAGUGAGAAUGGAUGAUAGUCAAAUGCAGCCAGAUUUGCCUACGUUAAACACACGUUACCAAAGUACUCAGGACAGUCAACCAAAGACGCGAAUAAUUCCAAUACAAAUCGAAGGUGCAGACAGCGGUGGGGCAAACAAAAGCUUCGGUGGGCGGUAUUAAGGGAGCUGUUUGCACUGUCCAAAGUAAACACACUUUUUAUUGCACUGCUUCUUCGUGAUUCAGUCUUGAGAAAUAUACCACAAAAUCAUUCAAGAAAGUCCACCGCGGCAGUCAAAGGCUUUCAAAGUUCUACAAGUCAUCACAGGAACGCAGGAUGUGGAUUAGUUCGGAAUGAUCAACAAUAUUUUAAAGUAUCUAUUUAUUCAUAAAACUAACAAUAAUGCUAUCACGUAUUUGUAAACGUAUACGUGAUUGAAUUUGUAAUUAUUCAAAAUUAUUAAAAAUGUAGUAUUUUUAUAUCUUUUAGGUGUAUAUAAUAUCUUAAGAUAAAUUAAGUUUUACCAUAUGAACUAUUGUUGAAACCGAUUUUACGUUAUCGAGAGGAACUAACGUAUACGAUCCUAAUGAAAUAUUAAUGUCGUAAACACGAUAAUUAAGUAAAAAUAUUUUUUUAAAGAUAAUAUUUUAGAUUUCUUCGCGGGAAAUAACGAGCUAAAGAAGUAACUUAUCGUACAAUUUAUAUUGUUAUUUAUAGUUUAAUUAUUUAUUUUAAACAUUUAUAUAGAUAGCUAAUUUUUAACAAUAAUAAUAAAUAUAUUAUAUCGGAUACUCUAUUUUAAGUGCUGCUUUAUUUAAUGUGAUUAUACUAAUGCUCAUGUUAAAGUGGAAUACGGCUAAAAACCAAAGAAUAAUUAGGUUUUAUUAUAAAUUAUUUACUAACAUAGUUAUUUAUUUAUUUUUAGAAUAUAAUAAAUUAAUAAGAUAAACUUUAAAUAGGUAUUUAAAUUAAAAGUUACCACUUUGAUUAUAAAUUUACUAUUAUUUGUUAAAAUAAUAUUAUAAUUUAGAAACGUUUUUAAAAUUUCCUUUUCUUGUUUACUGAAAAAUACUAAUAACAUAAUUAACUUAAUUAUAUAUACUAUUAUGGUUUAUAAAGCUUAGUGUUUGCACUAUUUAUUUUUAUAUUAUAAUAAUAUAUUUGUAUUAUCCACUUUCAAGUUUAUAAUUAUUAAUUUUUAUGUAUUUAUAUUUGCCAAGUAUUUUUGGUUUGUGAUCAGUAUUCUCAUUAUUAGUAUAAUAUAAUACCUACUCGUUGUAUAAUAUUUAUUUAUAUUAAAAUAUGAUAAUUAACGAAACACUAACAAAUUAACACUAUUAUUAUCCGCACAAAGAGUUACCAUAACAAUUUUAUAAUAAUAAACAAUAAUUCCCGAUAAUCCUGGGUUGUAUUUGUGAUUAAC